RNAcentral lists this ribosomal RNA (301 nucleotides) under uncultured bacterium. Its description in RNAcentral is "partial 16S ribosomal RNA". It matches the Rfam family "Bacterial small subunit ribosomal RNA", at positions 509 to 807 of the family's 1533-position model. The record is from RNAcentral.
CAGCCGCCGCGGUAAUACGAAGGGUGCAAGCGUUACUCGGAAUUACUGGGCGUAAAGCGUGCGUAGGUGGUGGUUUAAGUCCGUUGUGAAAGCCCUGGGCUCAACCUGGGAAUUGCAGUGGAUACUGGGUCACUAGAGUGUGGUAGAGGAUAGUGGAAUUUCCGGUGUAGCAGUGAAAUGCGUAGAGAUCGGAAGGAACAUCUGUGGCGAAGGCGACUAUCUGGGCCAACACUGACACUGAGGCACGAAAGCGUGGGGAGCAAACAGGAUUAGAUACCCGUGUAGUCCCUGUCUCUUAUAC